This 292-nucleotide ribosomal RNA is filed under the name uncultured bacterium. Its description in RNAcentral is "partial 16S ribosomal RNA". It matches the Rfam family "Bacterial small subunit ribosomal RNA", at positions 505 to 796 of the family's 1533-position model. The record is from RNAcentral.
GUUACAGCAGCCGCGGUAAUACGUAGGUGGCAAGCGUUGUCCGGAAUCAUUGGGCGUAAAGAGCGCGUAGGUGGCUUGUCAGGUCUGAUGUGAAAACCUGGGGCUCAACCCCAGGCCUGCAUCGGAAACCGACUUGCUAGAGUCUGGGAGAGGAGAGUGGAAUUCCUGGUGUAGCGGUGAAAUGCGUAGAUAUCAGGAGGAACACCGGUAGCGAAGGCGGCUCUCUGGAACAGCACUGACGCUGAGGCGCGAAAGCUAGGGGAGCAAACAGGAUUAGAUACCCGAGUAGUCC